Molecule: long non-coding RNA, 441 nt
Filed under: Homo sapiens (human)
Lineage: Eukaryota; Metazoa; Chordata; Mammalia; Primates; Hominidae
Description: HSALNT0308119
Source: RNAcentral
ACACAAAUAUCAUAGACACAGAAGUUACAUAUGCUUUUAUUAAGAGUUAAUGAUUUAAAAAAUAACCUAAUGAUAUGAGUGCUAAAUUUGUAAAUAAUUGAAAUGAGUCACUUUCUUCUGGUAACACCUUCCUGGGGCUAUUCCAUUCCAAGAUGACCAAAUAGGAACAGCUCUGGUCUGGAGCUCCCAGCGUGCCCGACACAGAAGACGGGUGAUUUCUGCAUUUUCACAGAGUUAUUCCUUUGUAGUUGUGAUCCAGCAUGGAUGUGGUGUGGUUGUAUCAGUGACUGCAGGUAGUCUGUGGAGCAUUACACAGUUCUUUACGGAAAUAGCAGCUGCAAGUGACCAGGACCACUGACAGCAGAAGGCACCUCACUUACCAUGGUAAAAAGCAGUUUAGAAAAAUCUCAAAAACAAAAUAAAUGUUUAUUGGAGACUCAA